RNAcentral lists this small RNA (348 nucleotides) under Aspergillus terreus NIH2624. RNAcentral's name for it is "A. fumigatus sRNA Afu_309". It matches the Rfam family "A. fumigatus sRNA Afu_309". The record is from Rfam by way of RNAcentral. Lineage: Eukaryota; Fungi; Ascomycota; Eurotiomycetes; Eurotiales; Aspergillaceae.
UUCUUCAGAACACACCACGGAUCUGUGUCCAGCGAUCCCGUUCACGGAGCCAUUUCUCUCACGAGGAGUGGUCUUUGUGUUUCGGUUGAUUGCUGGACAGUUCGACGACUUAAGGAGCCACUGAUUCUUUGUGCUUGGUGGUUUGAUUUCCGGUCGACAGAUCUCAGAUUAAAGGUCGGCGCUGGGUGUUCACUCCGGUCUUGAGCUCCCUUUCCUUUUCCCCUCUGGGGAGGGAUCGGUGAGCUCGGCUGGAGGUCCUGGUUGUCUGACGGCGUCAUAUUCCUAGUCUCUUCACCGACUGGCCGUUGGCUAGUGAGGUCAGGGAAAAACCAUGACAGGCCAACAUUC